Molecule: ribosomal RNA, 1389 nt
Filed under: metagenome
Description: bacterial LSU rRNA
Rfam family: Bacterial large subunit ribosomal RNA
Source: RNAcentral
UAUAUCCUGAGAGGUGGUGCGUAGCCGUAGCGGCGAAAUCCAUGAUCCUAUGCUGCCGAGAAAAGCCUCUAGCGAGCUGGUACAUGGCCCGUACCCCAAACCGACACAGGUGGUCAGGUAGAGAAUACUAAGGCGAUCGAGAGAACUGUGGUUAAGGAACUCGGCAAAAUGCCCCCGUAACUUCGGGAGAAGGGGGACCAGUCCUGGUGACGACAUUUACUGUCUGAGCUGGGGUUGGUCGCAGAGACCAGAGAGAAGCGACUGUUUACUAAAAACACAGGUCCGUGCGAAGUCGUAAGACGAUGUAUACGGACUGACGCCUCCCCGGUGCUGGAAGGUUAAGAGGACCGGUCAGCCACUUCGGUGGCGAAGCUGAGAAUUUAAGCCCCAGUAAACGGCGGUGGUAACUAUAACCAUCCUAAGGUAGCGAAAUUCCUUGUCGGGUAAGUUCCGACCUGCACGAAUGGCGUAACGACUUCUCUGCUGUCUCAACCACAGACUCGGCGAAAUUGCAGUACGAGUAAAGAUGCUCGUUACGCGCGGCAGGACGAAAAGACCCCGGGACCUUCACUAUAGCUUGGUAUUGGUGUUCGGUUCGGUUUGUGUAGGAUAGGUGGGAGACUGUGAAACUCGCACGCCAGUGUGGGUGGAGUCAUUGUUGAAAUACCACUCUGACCGUAUUGGACAUCUAACCUCGGACCAUGAUCUGGUUCAGGGACAGUGCCUGGUGGGUAGUUUAACUGGGGCGGUUGCCUCCCAAAAAGUAACGGAGGCGCCCAAAGGUUCCCUCAGCCUGGUUGGCAAUCAGGUGUUGAGUGUAAGUGCACAAGGGAGCUUGACUGUGAGACGUACAUGUCGAGCAGGGACGAAAGUCGGGACUAGUGAUCCGGCACCGGCAAGUGGAAGCGGUGUCGCUCAACGGAUAAAAGGUACCCCGGGGAUAACAGGCUGAUCUUCCCCAAGAGUCCAUAUCGACGGGAUGGUUUGGCACCUCGAUGUCGGCUCGUCGCAUCCUGGGGCUGGAGUAGGUCCCAAGGGUUGGGCUGUUCGCCCAUUAAAGCGGCACGCGAGCUGGGUUUAGAACGUCGUGAGACAGUUCGGUCUCUAUCCGCCGCGCGCGUAAGAAACUUGAGGAAACCUGUCCCUAGUACGAGAGGACCGGGACGGACGAACCUCUGGUGUGCCAGUUGUUCACCAGGAGCACCGCUGGUUAGCUACGUUCGGAAGGGAUAACCGCUGAAAGCAUCUAAGCGGGAAGCCUGAUCCAAGAUGAGGUUUCUCACCACCUAGCGUGGUUAAGGCCCCCCACAGACCAUGGGGUUGAUAGGCCAGAACUGUAAGCACAGCAAUGUGUUCAGGUGACUGGUACUAAUCGGCCGAGGACUUACU